This 291-nucleotide small RNA is filed under the name Pongo abelii (Sumatran orangutan). RNAcentral describes it as "processed transcript". Lineage: Eukaryota; Metazoa; Chordata; Mammalia; Primates; Hominidae. The record is from RNAcentral.
CGGGCGUGGUGGCGUGCGCCUAUAGUUCCACCUACUCAGGAGGCUGAGGCAGGAGGAUCACUUGAGCCCAGGAGGUCAAGUCUACAGUCAGCCGUGAUUGCACCACUCCAUUCCAGCUUAGGCGACAGAGCAAGACCGUCUCAAAAAAACAAAAACAAAAGAAAUGAGAGCGAGGUGGGGCUAAGCACUGCUUAGAGUCUGGGAUCCGGUUCAUUGGGAGAAGCCCUGGGGAGUGAAAGUGUGGACUGCUGUAUUCCUCUGUUCUCCCCUAAGAUUGGACCCAAAGAUAGU